RNAcentral lists this ribosomal RNA (530 nucleotides) under Levilactobacillus brevis. RNAcentral's name for it is "bacterial SSU rRNA". It matches the Rfam family "Bacterial small subunit ribosomal RNA", at positions 61 to 578 of the family's 1533-position model. The record is from RNAcentral. Lineage: Bacteria; Bacillati; Bacillota; Bacilli; Lactobacillales; Lactobacillaceae.
GACGUGCUUGCACUGAUUUUAACAAUGAAGCGAGUGGCGAACUGGUGAGUAACACGUGGGAAAUCUGCCCAGAAGCAGGGGAUAACACUUGGAAACAGGUGCUAAUACCGUAUAACAACAAAAUCCGCAUGGAUUUUGUUUGAAAGGUGGCUUCGGCUAUCACUUCUGGAUGAUCCCGCGGCGUAUUAGUUAGUUGGUGAGGUAAAGGCCCACCAAGACGAUGAUACGUAGCCGACCUGAGAGGGUAAUCGGCCACAUUGGGACUGAGACACGGCCCAAACUCCUACGGGAGGCAGCAGUAGGGAAUCUUCCACAAUGGACGAAAGUCUGAUGGAGCAAUGCCGCGUGAGUGAAGAAGGGUUUCGGCUCGUAAAACUCUGUUGUUAAAGAAGAACACCUUUGAGAGUAACUGUUCAAGGGUUGACGGUAUUUAACCAGAAAGCCACGGCUAACUACGUGCCAGCAGCCGCGGUAAUACGUAGGUGGCAAGCGUUGUCCGGAUUUAUUGGGCGUAAAGCGAGCGCAGGCGG